ACCUGCGGAGGGAUCAUUACCGAGUUUACAACUCCCAAACCCCUGUGAACAUACCACUUGUUGCCUCGGCGGAUCAGCCCGCUCCCGGUAAAACGGGACGGCCCGCCAGAGGACCCCUAAACUCUGUUUCUAUAUGUAACUUCUGAGUAAAACCAUAAAUAAAUCAAAACUUUCAACAACGGAUCUCUUGGUUCUGGCAUCGAUGAAGAACGCAGCAAAAUGCGAUAAGUAAUGUGAAUUGCAGAAUUCAGUGAAUCAUCGAAUCUUUGAACGCACAUUGCGCCCGCCAGUAUUCUGGCGGGCAUGCCUGUUCGAGCGUCAUUUCAACCCUCAAGCACAGCUUGGUGUUGGGACUCGCGUUAAUUCGCGUUCCUCAAAUUGAUUGGCGGUCACGUCGAGCUUCCAUAGCGUAGUAGUAAAACCCUCGUUACUGGUAAUCGUCGCGGCCACGCCGUUAAACCCCAACUUCUGAAUGUGAC
This 479-nucleotide ribosomal RNA is filed under the name Fusarium oxysporum. RNAcentral describes it as "eukaryotic LSU rRNA". The stretch from base 168 to 321 matches the Rfam family "5.8S ribosomal RNA". The record is from RNAcentral. Lineage: Eukaryota; Fungi; Ascomycota; Sordariomycetes; Hypocreales; Nectriaceae.